Molecule: long non-coding RNA, 219 nt
Filed under: Hordeum vulgare
Lineage: Eukaryota; Viridiplantae; Streptophyta; Magnoliopsida; Poales; Poaceae
Description: long non-coding RNA (HVUL_LNC018533)
Source: RNAcentral
UUUUGUUUGUUUUUCAGAAGUGGGGGAGAGGAAAACGAGAGCCAAAAAAGUAAAUGCAAGAGAUGAGUUUGCGACACUAACUUGGAUGAGUUCUUGACUUGAUCCUCCCCAGCAACGGCGCCAGAAAUUCUUCUGCUACGGAAACAGACAACAACGCCAGAAAUUGGCCCAUUGACGGAGACUUGGCUUGAGGUGGUUUUUCCCUUGAAGAGGAAAGGG